This 324-nucleotide ribosomal RNA is filed under the name uncultured eukaryote. Its description in RNAcentral is "partial 18S ribosomal RNA". It matches the Rfam family "Eukaryotic small subunit ribosomal RNA", at positions 1470 to 1796 of the family's 1831-position model. The record is from RNAcentral.
CCCCUAGAUGUUCUGGGCCGCACGCGCGCUACACUGGUCGAUGCAACGAGUUUCUUUCCUUGGCCGACAGGCCUGGGCAAUCUUUGAACAUCGAUCGUGAUCGGGAUAGAUUCUUGUAAUUUUUGAUCUUAAACGAGGAAUUCCUAGUAAACGCAAGUCAUCAGCUUGCAUUGAUUACGUCCCUGCCCUUUGUACACACCGCCCGUCGCACCUACCGAUUGAAUGGUCCGGUGAAAUCUCCGGACUGGCGUGAGUCGGAGCAAUCUGACAAACACCGGAAAGUUGAUUAAACCUUACCAUUUAGAGGAAGGUGAAGUCGUANCA